UACGGGGGGAGCAAGCGUUGUUCGGAUUUACUGGGCGUAAAGGGCGCGUAGGCGGCCACCGCAAGUCAGUUGUGAAAUCUCUGGGCUUAACCCAGAAAGGUCAACUGAUACUGCGGGGCUAGAGUGCAGAAGGGGCAACUGGAAUUCUCGGUGUAGCGGUGAAAUGCGCAGAUAUCAGGAGGAACACCGAUGGCGAAGGCAGGUCUCUGGGCAUUAACUGACGCUGAGGAGCGAAAGCAUGGGGAGCGAACAGG
RNAcentral lists this ribosomal RNA (254 nucleotides) under uncultured bacterium. RNAcentral describes it as "partial 16S ribosomal RNA". It matches the Rfam family "Bacterial small subunit ribosomal RNA", at positions 524 to 776 of the family's 1533-position model. The record is from RNAcentral.